This 1372-nucleotide long non-coding RNA is filed under the name Betta splendens (Siamese fighting fish). RNAcentral's name for it is "lncRNA (ENSBSLG00000020345.1)". Lineage: Eukaryota; Metazoa; Chordata; Actinopteri; Anabantiformes; Osphronemidae. The record is from RNAcentral.
UGUCAGGAUGUGCUGAAUGAACCCGACUUCACAAUGCGGCAGAGGGGAGUCGUUGGCUGGUCGCAGUCAGGCAGCCACAACAAGGCAGAACAUUCAGGUCCUUCAGGACAACAAGCCACGAGGUUCAGGUGUUAGUGGGACAUGAUCCACCAGAUGGAAGAUCCAAUCAUCGCCCAGAAACUAAAAGCAGAAGACAAGCAGCUGAACCCUGGUGACGCUCGCUCACUCGCUCACUCGCUCACUCGCUCACUCGCUCACGCUGAACCCGUCCUGCGCCCCAUCGACAGGUUGUCAGUUCAUCACAGCCAUAUCUGCACUCACACUGACGGCUCAUUUGAAUCUCCCAGCAGCCCCUGCUUUCCUUUGACUGUGGGAGGAGGUGAGAGCACCGAGGGAGAAGCCACGCACUUGUUUCACAUCACAGUGAUGGAGCUGGGUUCAAACACUACUUACAGCAUUACUCACUGUGCUGCCAGUGCAACCUCUACCACUGAUGCACAGCAGUGAUGCAAACACACCACCUGUAGGGUUGAAAAUGGAAAAUGACCAGCACAGUGUAAUAGAUUCAAGUCGUCUUCCUGGGGAAGAGAUUUAUUGUGUGCUCGCUUUCUUCUCCCCUCUGGCCUCAGGUGUCUGAUCUGGGUCACUGCAUCGGUGCAGCUCAGCUUGUUUGUACACAGCCAAGACAUUUGUCUGAUCGGCUGAGCACCGACGUGGACGCAAGCACUGAACAUGUCUCCUGAAAGACAGAACUCUUCUAAUCAGUCAGAUUAACCUGUGUGUGUGUGUGUGUGUGUGUGUGUGUGUGUGUGUGUGUGUGUGUGUGUGUGUGUGUGUGUGUGUGUGUGCGUGCGUGUGCGUGUGUGCGUGCGUGCGCGUGUGUGCGUGCGUGUGUGUGUGUGCGUGCCUGUCUGUGUGUAUGUGCGUGUGUGUGUGCGUGCAUGCAUGCGUGUGUGUGUGCAUGUGUACAUGCGCUUGCGUGUGUGUGUGCGUGUGUGCGUGCGUGUGUGUGCGUGCGUGUGCAUGUGUGUGCGUGUUGUGAGGUUCUUGGUGAGCCGUGGAGCGGGCGCUGGGCAGAACGUCCACCGUCCGUGUGGGGCCACGGGACGCCGUGCAGCCACAGACGCUGGUGAAGGGUGGAGACAAGGGUAUCAGGGCGGUGUAUUUAUAUCCCUUGUGUCUCACAGCUUACAGAGUGAUAGACAGGCAAACUGAAAGCUUCUGUCACACAAAAUUCUCCAUGGCAGCAUCUUGGCCGAGCCCCCACUCCUCCCCCAUAGGAGGAAACAAACCAGGGAAGGAUCUGCGGCGCAGAUGGGAAACGAAGGCAAAUGAAAAGUAUUGAAUAAAUUCAGAUCAAAGAACUGGGGCA